UGAAUACGAGACGCUAAGGCGUCGAAGUAGUGUAUAUCAGACUUCCAAGAAAAGCUUGCACUGUCAUAGAUAAAAAAUGCCUGUACCAUAACCGACACAGGUGGGUAGGUAGAGUAUACUAAGAGGCGCGAGGUAACUCUCCCUAAGGAACUCGGCAAAAUAACUCCGUAACUUCGGGAGAAGGAGUGCCUUAUUUAUAAGGUUGCAAUAACAAGAUCCAAGCAACUGUUUAUCAAAAACACAGGUCUCCGCUAAGUCGUAAGACGAUGUAUGGGGGCUGACGCCUGCCCAGUGCCAGAAGGUUAAAGAAGUUGGUUAGCAAUUGCGAAGCUGAUAACUGAAGCCCUGGUGAACGGCGGCCGUAACAAUAACGGUCCUAAGGUAGCGAAAUUCCUUGUCGGGUAAGUUCCGACCCGCACGAAAGGCGUAAUGAUUUGGAUACUGUCUCGGAGAGGGGCUCGGUGAAAUAGACUUGUCUGUGAAGAUGCGGACUACCUGCACCAGGACAGAAAGACCCUAUGAAGCUUUACUGUAACUUGAAAUUGAAAUUGGACUUUAUUCGCGCAGCAUAGGUGGGAGGCGUUGAUUAUAAUCUUGCGGGAUUAUUGGAGCCAUCAGUGAGAUACCACUCUUGUAAUGUUAGAUUUCUAACUUUGAAUCAUUAUCUGGUCAAAGAACAGUUUCAGGCGGGCAGUUUGACUGGGGCGGUCGCCUCCUAAAUGGUAACGGAGGCGUACAAAGGUUUCCUCUGAACGGUUAGAAAUCGUAUCUAGAGUGUAAAGGCAUAAGGAAGCUUGACUGUGAGACCUACAAGUCGAGCAGGGACGAAAGUCGGUCUUAGUGAUCUGACGGUACUGAGUGGAAAGGCCGUCACUCAACGGAUAAAAGUUACUCUAGGAUAACAGGCUGAUCUCCCCCAAGAGUUCACAUCGACGGGGAGGUUUGGCACCUCGAUGUCGGCUCAUCGCAUCCUGGGGCGGUAGUACGUCCCAGGGGUUGGGCUGUUCGCCCAUGAAAGCGGUACGCGAGCUGGGUUCAGAACGUCGUGAGACAGUUCGGUCCAUAUCCGGUGUAGGCGUUAGAAUAUUGAGAGGAGCCUUCUUUAGUACGAGAGGACCGAGAAGGACAUACCUCUGGUGUACCAGUUAUCGUGCCAACGGUAAACGCUGGGUAGCUAUGUAUGGAGUGGAUAACCGCUGAAAGCAUCUAAGUGGGAAGCCCACCUCAAGAUAAGUAUUCUC
This 1241-nucleotide ribosomal RNA is filed under the name metagenome. Its description in RNAcentral is "bacterial LSU rRNA". It matches the Rfam family "Bacterial large subunit ribosomal RNA", at positions 1564 to 2815 of the family's 2925-position model. The record is from RNAcentral.